CUUGUGACUUGAGAGCCGCGCUUCUUAAAGAAAGGCUGAAAGACCUCUCGUAGCCUGCGGCGUUCCUAACUGGUUUGUACUUCCUUGGUUUUGAGAGCUAAAAACUUAAGAUCCACCCUUGAUCUUCAAGACAGGGAAUUGAAAGGUAGAGAAAUGGAAAUGCACACGGAGUAACCUGGGGAAGGCUGAGUGGUUCGAAUGAUGGAUCUGUAGCCUGAUAUAUACUAAGUGAGCUUUUCAUCGUUGUCAUGAAGAACACUUUCAGAGGAUGAAAAGUUGCUUUGGCUCACCAUUUCCGAUAAAAAGUUCAUGUUUUUAGGACUGUGAUCAGGUGGAGAACCAUGAUGGGAGCACAUGGAGGAAGACCACGCUCACCUCACUGUCAGCUGAGAAACAACAAAUAAGGAGAACCAAUCUGGAGACGGGAUAUGCAACCCUAAGGAGUAGGCUCUAUCUCCUGAGAGCAUCUUGCACGGCAAUCAAGCUUUUAGCACUGACUUUUGGAAGAACGUUUUAGAUCCACACCAUUCCACAAAGCAGAACUGCUGAAUCACACAAACUUAACUUCUGAGGAAGCUCCCCACUCUCCAAGUGUGUAGAGGCCACGCACAGUUGAAGUAGGGAAGGGAGAGAGUGAAUCUCUGCCCUUCCUGUAUGUUAACAGUGCAAUGAGAGAAGCACGUGGUUUGAGAAUAAUUCAUGAGAGGAACAUGUGUUUCAAAGGAUCUCUGUAUUUUCCCAGAAAUAGUUAAUAUGUUAAUUUUCCACCAAUUUGAAAACUAGCCUUUUUGGGUUUUCGGUUUACGGUGCUACUGUCUACCAAACUAUAGAUUCUAAGAGAGCAUAACAACAGCUACUUAAAAGUAUCUGUGUCGUUACCCGAAUAGAUGUUUUGAUGGCACAGCACUAAGUUAGAAAAGUACUGAAAGAUUAAUUCCGUACACUGCAUUAGCUCAAAUCAGCACUGAUGAGCCUUCCUCCAUUAAGUUGUGACUUAACAGUAAUAGAGGACAGCAUGACCCAUCUUAUAGUAGUUAUAAGCUGUUUAUAGUGAGCCAAAAUCCUAAUCUUUAUGCAUGUAACUCUUCAGCUACGUGUUUAAACUGUAAACAGUAUUGAAUAAGCACUAUUACAGCUGCUAGCUACCAUUGUCCAUAAAAUAGCCUCACAUUUCUCCCACUUGCACAGUUGCCAACUGCUUUGUUUUUUAAUGUAUAGAAUGCAAGCUAGAGACAAGAGGUGACAAGAUGAGACUUUUUUUUUUCAGUCUGUUAUCACCUCAGCUGUUUUGACUUAAUGGCCACAUCACUGAUUCACUUUGUGGUUACAAAACCUCAGAUCUUCAACAUGAGCUAUCGAUGGCUUUCCCCUUCAAACACUUAACAAAAUGGACUUACUAAACCAAAAGCUAAGAGUUCUUGUCAGAAUCCAUCUUGUUAAUUUUAGCCUAUCUUAUCUGCCUACUGUUGAAUUCUAUGUCUUCCUACUUCAAGUCCUGAAUGCUGAGAUUACAGGGUGUACCAUUAUGCCUAGCUAAGUUUCUCUACAAUUUUAAAUUUAAUAUACAUGCUAAAUUGUCUUUGUCUUUCUGCUUUGUAUAGGUACAUAUUUAUUAAAAAAUCUCAAAGCAUAAAAGUUACAAUUAGAAAAUAACAUUCUAAAAUGAAUAAAAUUAUUUUUUCUAUGUAAU
Rattus norvegicus (Norway rat) is the source of this 1690-nucleotide long non-coding RNA. The record is from Ensembl. Lineage: Eukaryota; Metazoa; Chordata; Mammalia; Rodentia; Muridae.